UUUAACCUGCCCAAUGAUUAAUUUAAUGGCCGCAGUAUAUUGACUGUGCAAAGGUAGCGUAAUCAUUAGUUUUUUAAUUAAAAGCUUGUAUGAAGGGUUGGACGAGGUAAAAACUGUCUUUUUAUAAUUUAAUAUAGAAUUUAACUUUUAAGUAAAAAGGCUUAAAUGAAUUUAAAAGACGAGAAGACCCUAUAGAUCUUUAUAUAUUUAUUUAUUAUAUUAAUUUAGAAUUAUUAUAAUUUAAUUUAUAAAUAUAUUGUAUUGGGGUAAUAUAAAGAUUUAAAAAAUUCUUUAUUUUUUUUAUCAUAAAUUUAUGAAUAUAUGAUCCAAUAUUAUUGAUUAAAAGAUUAAGUUACCUUAGGGAUAACAGCGUAAUUUUUUUAAAGAGUUCAUAUCGAUAAAAAAGUUUGCGACCUCGAUGUUGGAUUAAAAUUUAUUUUAGGUGUAGAAGCUUAAAAA
Molecule: ribosomal RNA, 459 nt
Filed under: Amblycheila baroni
Lineage: Eukaryota; Metazoa; Arthropoda; Insecta; Coleoptera; Carabidae
Description: 16S ribosomal RNA
Rfam family: Bacterial large subunit ribosomal RNA (bases 363-459)
Source: RNAcentral